UACGUGCCAGCAGCCGCGGUAAUACGUAGGUGGCAAGCGUGUCCGGAUUUAUUGGGCGUAAAGGGAGCGCAGGCGGUGACUUAAGUCUGAUGUGAAAGCCACGGCUCAACCGUGGAAGGUCAUUGGAAACUGGGUCACUUGAAUGCAGAAGAGGAAAGUGAAUUCCAUGUGUAGCGGUGAAAUGCGUAGAUAUAUGGAGGAACACCAGUGGCGAAGGCGCUUUCUGGUCUGUUAUUGACGCUGAGGCUCGAAAGCAUGGGUAGCGAACAGGAUUAGAUACCUGGUAGUCCAUGCCGUAAACGAUGAGUGCUAGGUGUUGGGGGGCUUCCACCCCUCGGUCCGCCGUUAACGCAUUAAGCACUCCGCCUGGGGAUUACGGCCGCAAGGCUUAAACUCAAAGAAUUGACGGGGACCCGCACAAGCGGUGGAGCAUGUGGUUUAAUUCGAAGCAACGCGAAGACCUUACCAGCUCUUGACAUCUUCUGCCAACCCUAGAGAUAGGGUGUUCCCUUCGGGGACGAAUGACAGGUGGUGCAUGGUUGUCGUCAGCUCGUGUCGUGAGAUGUUGGGUUAAGUCCCUAACGAGCGCAACCCUUGUUGUCAGUUGCCAGCAUUUAGUUGGGCACUCUGGCGAGACUGCGGUGACAAACCGGAGGAAGGUGGGGAUGACGUCAAAUCAGCAUGCCCCUUAUGAGCUGGCUACACACGUGCUACAAUGGAUGGUACAGCGAGUCGCGAGACUGCGAAGUUUAGCUAAUCCCUAAAGCCAUUCUCAGUCCGGAUUGCAGGCUGCAACUCGCCUGCAUGAAGCCGGAAUCGUAGUAAUCGUGGAUCAGCAUGCCACGGUGAAUACGUUCCCGGGUCUUGUACACACCGCCCU
This 880-nucleotide ribosomal RNA is filed under the name uncultured Alkalibacterium sp. RNAcentral's name for it is "bacterial SSU rRNA". It matches the Rfam family "Bacterial small subunit ribosomal RNA", at positions 502 to 1396 of the family's 1533-position model. The record is from RNAcentral. Lineage: Bacteria; Bacillati; Bacillota; Bacilli; Lactobacillales; Carnobacteriaceae.